Molecule: ribosomal RNA, 234 nt
Filed under: uncultured bacterium
Lineage: Bacteria
Description: partial 16S ribosomal RNA
Rfam family: Bacterial small subunit ribosomal RNA
Source: RNAcentral
GACGAACGCUGGCGGCGUGCUUAACACAUGCAAGUCGAGCGAGGCCCUCUUCGGGAGGAGCCUAGCGGCGAACGGGUGAGUAACACGUGGGCAAUCUACCUCUAGCACUGGGAUAACUCCGGGAAACCGGGGCUAAUACCGGAUACGAUCUUCGAGGGCAUCCUCCGGAGAUGGAAAGGAUCCUGGCUAGGGAUGAGCCCGCGGCCUAUCAGCUUGUUGGCGGGGUAAUGGCCC